AUUGAACGCUGGCGGCAGGCUUAACACAUGCAAGUCGAGCGGAGAUGAGGUGCUUGCACCUUAUCUUAGCGGCGGACGGGUGAGUAAUGCUUAGGAAUCUGCCUAUUAGUGGGGGACAACAUUCCGAAAGGAAUGCUAAUACCGCAUACGUCCUACGGGAGAAAGCAGGGGAUCUUCGGACCUUGCGCUAAUAGAUGAGCCUAAGUCGGAUUAGCUAGUUGGUGGGGUAAAGGCCUACCAAGGCGACGAUCUGUAGCGGGUCUGAGAGGAUGAUCCGCCACACUGGGACUGAGACACGGCCCAGACUCCUACGGGAGGCAGCAGUGGGGAAUAUUGGACAAUGGGGGGAACCCUGAUCCAGCCAUGCCGCGUGUGUGAAGAAGGCCUUAUGGUUGUAAAGCACUUUACGCGAGGAGGAGGCUACUGAGACUAAUACUCUUGGAUAGUGGACGUUACUCGCAGAAUAAGCACUGGCUAACUCUGUGCCAUCAGCCGCCGUAA
This 501-nucleotide ribosomal RNA is filed under the name uncultured bacterium. Its description in RNAcentral is "partial 16S ribosomal RNA". It matches the Rfam family "Bacterial small subunit ribosomal RNA", at positions 30 to 523 of the family's 1533-position model. The record is from RNAcentral.